RNAcentral lists this long non-coding RNA (715 nucleotides) under Cricetulus griseus (Chinese hamster). RNAcentral's name for it is "lncRNA (ENSCGRG00015040269.1)". Lineage: Eukaryota; Metazoa; Chordata; Mammalia; Rodentia; Cricetidae. The record is from RNAcentral.
CACGAAUUGUCGUGGUCAUGGUGUUGAAAGGUUCAGGCUUUGACGCUGAUGGCUCUACCUCCUUAAGAGACAGACCCACCCCCUGACACAGUCGGGGCAGGCACAGGAAAACUUGCUAAGUCAUCGCAGGACACCCGCCAUGCAUUACACCUGCUGAAGACUCUGGGCAUGCGUAGAACCUCAGUGCACAGAUCCUCGUUUGGUUUCCAGGCUCAGACCCUCUUGGUGGCCAAGCUAGAACCUGGAGAUCGGUCCCCUUACCUUCCCAGUCUCUUCCACCUCUGAUCAGCCAGUGAGGUAAACACCAUGCUAAGCUAUGAUCUCCUGCAGCUGAUGGUUCCUGAUUCAUCUUACCAUCGUGAAAUUUCAUUACAGUCUUACUGUACUGCCUUAGCUGACCUUGAACAUCUGGCUCCCAAGAUCUUGCUUCAGCUUCCCAAGUCUAUGGUCCCUAGCUGGCCUGAAAUCCUCAGAAAUCUACCUGCCUCAGCCUCCUGAGUGCUGGGAUUAAAGGCGUGGGGGUGGACUUUGAGGUCUCCUAUGCUCAAGCUACUCUCAGCGAGACAGACCACUUCCUGUUGUCUGACUAUCAAGAUAAAGGGCUCUCAGCCCCAGCACCAUAUCAGCCUGCAUGUCACCAUGUGACACCAUGUGAUAAUGGACUAAACCUCUGAAAAUGUAAGCUACCCCAAUUAAAUGGUAUUUCUUCAUAAGA